This 107-nucleotide small RNA is filed under the name Marmota monax (woodchuck). The record is from RNAcentral. Lineage: Eukaryota; Metazoa; Chordata; Mammalia; Rodentia; Sciuridae.
GCUGGGUGUGGUGGCACAUGCCUGUAAUCCCAGCAACUUGGGAAGCUGAGGCAGGAGGAUCAUAAGUUCAAAGCCAGCCUAGGCAAUUUUGUGAGACCCUGUUUCAA